UACGGAGGGGGCUAGCGUUGUUCGGAAUUACUGGGCGUAAAGCGUACGUAGGCGGCUUUGUAAGUUAGAGGUGAAAGCCCGGGGCUCAACUCCGGAAUUGCCUUUAAGACUGCAUCGCUUGAAUCAUGGAGAGGUGAGGAAUUCCGAGUGUAGAGGUGAAAUUCGUAGAUAUUCGGAAGAACACCAGUGGCGAAGGCGACUCACUGGACAUGUAUUGACGCUGAGGUACGAAAGCGUGGGGAGCAAACAGG
RNAcentral lists this ribosomal RNA (251 nucleotides) under uncultured bacterium. RNAcentral describes it as "partial 16S ribosomal RNA". It matches the Rfam family "Bacterial small subunit ribosomal RNA", at positions 524 to 776 of the family's 1533-position model. The record is from RNAcentral.